GAAAGUUAGUCAUGCAGGUUUGCAGUGACAUGAAGCAUGAAGGCACAUUUUGUGGUUGGAGGAAGGAGAUCUUACUAAUGGCUUUCCUGGAUGUAACUGCUGUGUGAUUAAAAAACAAAGCAUAUUUUGCCAGCUGAACCAACCCUUCACCUUUUGAGUAAACAUGGAGUCUCAUUCUGGACAGCAGGGAACCAAUCCUGCGGGUAGCCUUGACCCCAUUUCAACAGAUUGCAGAUGAAGCAACCACCACACAUGACUGAUGGCCAGUAAUACAAAUGACCACAGGAACAAUGCACGAGGAAUUGUGUAUGACACUGGACUGGAAAAUGUGUGAAUGAACAGUUGUUAUGGUCAGCUCAUGGCCCCAACAAAUAAAGGAACCAUUCACCGAAAUCUCAAAAUAACAACCAAAGUUUAUUACAUAAUUCUAG
This is a long non-coding RNA of Cyprinus carpio carpio, 431 nucleotides long. The record is from Ensembl. Lineage: Eukaryota; Metazoa; Chordata; Actinopteri; Cypriniformes; Cyprinidae.